This 234-nucleotide long non-coding RNA is filed under the name Physcomitrium patens. RNAcentral's name for it is "long non-coding RNA (PPAT_LNC002642)". The record is from RNAcentral. Lineage: Eukaryota; Viridiplantae; Streptophyta; Bryopsida; Funariales; Funariaceae.
AAAUUCAUUCCUAUUGGUCGAAGGCCAUGCCCAAUGGGCUUCAAGGAGGCUAUCCGAGGCCUUAUUAGGGAUUAGGGUUUCUCUUUCGAGGUCAUUUGAGCUUUGGAAGCUAGAAUUAGCAAGUUUAGGAUUUUAGAUAUAAUUUGGAUGAAGAGUUUGGGUGAUUUCAAGUUUUUGUGAAGGAGAUAUAGGUGUUCAAAGUUAAGGUGUCAAAUUUAUACCUAUUAUUACUCU